This 616-nucleotide ribosomal RNA is filed under the name Staphylococcus pseudintermedius. RNAcentral describes it as "partial 23S ribosomal RNA". It matches the Rfam family "Bacterial large subunit ribosomal RNA", at positions 574 to 1191 of the family's 2925-position model. Lineage: Bacteria; Bacillati; Bacillota; Bacilli; Caryophanales; Staphylococcaceae. The record is from RNAcentral.
UCAGAGCCCGUUAAUGGGUGAUGGCGUGCCUUUUGUAGAAUGAACCGGCGAGUUACGAUCUGAUGCAAGGUUAAGCAGAAAAUGUGGAGCCGUAGCGAAAGCGAGUCUGAAUAGGGCGAAUGAGUAUUUGGUCGUAGACCCGAAACCAGGUGAUCUACCCUUGGUCAGGUUGAAGUUCAGGUAACACUGAAUGGAGGACCGAACCGACUUACGUUGAAAAGUGAGCGGAUGAACUGAGGGUAGCGGAGAAAUUCCAAUCGAACUUGGAGAUAGCUGGUUCUCUCCGAAAUAGCUUUAGGGCUAGCCUCAAGUGAUGAUUAUUGGAGGUAGAGCACUGUUUGGACGAGGGGCCCCUCUCGGGUUACCGAAUUCAGACAAACUCCGAAUGCCAAAUAAUUUAACUUGGGAGUCAGAAUGUGGGUGAUAAGGUCCAUAUUCGAAAGGGAAACAGCCCAGACCACCAGCUAAGGUCCCAAAAUAUAUGUUAAGUGGAAAAGGAUGUGGCGUUGCCCAGACAACUAGGAUGUUGGCUUAGAAGCAGCCAUCAUUUAAAGAGUGCGUAAUAGCUCACUAGUCGAGUGACACUGCGCCGAAAAUGUACCGGGGCUAAACAUAU